Molecule: ribosomal RNA, 643 nt
Filed under: uncultured Actinomycetes bacterium
Lineage: Bacteria; Bacillati; Actinomycetota; Actinomycetes
Description: bacterial SSU rRNA
Rfam family: Bacterial small subunit ribosomal RNA
Source: RNAcentral
CGCGGCCUAUCAGCUUGUUGGUGAGGUAAUGGCUCACCAAGGCGUCGACGGGUAGCCGGCCUGAGAGGGUGACCGGCCACACUGGGACUGAGACACGGCCCAGACUCCUACGGGAGGCAGCAGUGGGGAAUAUUGCACAAUGGGCGCAAGCCUGAUGCAGCAACGCCGCGUGAGGGACGACGGCCUUCGGGUUGUAAACCUCUUUUAGCAGGGAAGAAGCGAAAGUGACGGUACCUGCAGAAAAAGCGCCGGCUAACUACGUGCCAGCAGCCGCGGUAAUACGUAGGGCGCAAGCGUUAUCCGGAAUUAUUGGGCGUAAAGAGCUCGUAGGCGGUUUGUCGCGUCUGCUGUGAAAUCCGGAGGCUCAACCUCCGGCCUGCAGUGGGUACGGGCAGACUAGAGUGCGGUAGGGGAGAUUGGAAUUCCUGGUGUAGCGGUGGAAUGCGCAGAUAUCAGGAGGAACACCGAUGGCGAAGGCAGAUCUCUGGGCCGUAACUGACGCUGAGGAGCGAAAAGGUGGGGAGCAAACAGGCUUAGAUACCCUGGUAGUCCACCCCGUAAACGUUGGGAACUAGUUGUGGGGUCCAUUCCACGGAUUCCGUGACGCAGCUAACGCAUUAAGUUCCCCGCCUGGGGAGUACGG